GCAUUGGUGGUUCGGUGGUAGAAUUAUCGCCUGCCACGCGGGCGACUCGGGCUCGAUUCCAGGCCAAUUUA
Non-coding RNA from Dictyocaulus viviparus (bovine lungworm), 71 nucleotides. The record is from the annotation of a GenBank genome assembly. NCBI's taxonomy places the organism in Eukaryota, Metazoa, Nematoda, Chromadorea, Rhabditida, Metastrongylidae.